CAGAUGGUGAUCUACCCUUCCCCCCAAUUAUCACAAAAGGAGCUAUAAUCACUAACUUAUUCUUAAUAAUAAUGGUUACUGGUACCCUUACAAUAAUGUACAAUCCAAUGUUUAAAAAUUAUACCACUUGAGUUUGGUUUGAUCCUAUAAAUUUUCAACAAAUGUCUUAAAAUUUAAAAGCAGGCUGAUUAGUUUGGAACCAGACUGCAAGUAGAGCUAACAUUUGGUGAAUAAGAAAACAUCACAUUACAUUUUGGAUGUAUGAAAGAAAACUUGACCAUUUGAAGAUAUAUGAAUAAAGAAAUGUACUAUAGAUACUACUUUAGGAAAACACUGUUUGUAGUCGUGAAAGGUGCCAAAUUGGCAGAGGCUCACGUUUCUUCUCUUUACACCAAACAGGUAUUACAAAGAAAGUAAAUCUUUCAAAGGCCAGUUAAAUCUCCAUGCUGAUUUUUGGCUUUAUAAUUUGAUUAGUAUGUUUUAGCCUGAUAUUUCAAAAAUUAUAAAAUUCCCUUACAAUGUAACUGAAAAUACAUAUUCUGUUUAUUUCAGUCCAUGAAUAGCUAAUCA
Molecule: long non-coding RNA, 570 nt
Filed under: Pan troglodytes (chimpanzee)
Lineage: Eukaryota; Metazoa; Chordata; Mammalia; Primates; Hominidae
Description: long non-coding RNA NONPTRT004546
Source: RNAcentral